AGACCGGCGGCUUUCGAAAUCACCGCGUCGUCGUCCCGGAUAUCUGCUCGAGGAUGACCAGCUGCGGUGCAUGGAGGACUUUCAUUGUUGUUGGUGAGCCUGGAUCCGUGCACACGAUCAUGGAACUACCCACCGUUAGCACUUGAACAAUCCCAACUGCUGAGUCCAGAGUUUGGGAUCAGCUCCGAAAACCUCCCGUCGACUUCUAUCGUGGCUCGGUUGGUUUUCUCGAGAAUCUAGGAAGGGAUUCCUAAAGUGCAACUGGGCACCACCCGAAGCGAGUGGGACGGUUUUAUGCCCCAUUCGCGCAUGAAUCGGCCCUAAUGGAUGCGAGCUUUUUGAUGAUGAUGGUGCGAAUGUCAAAGGAUUGAUGUGUUGAUAGAGUGGCUCCUGGGAGGGAUCUUUCUUGAAGCUGGUUGCGUCCUGCACUUUGGCCUCGCCGCCAGAUUCACGUCUAGUCGAUUCUAGUACUGAUGGUGCCGUUGUGGGGUCUGGCCGUGGCGUCCGUCCCAGCUGUGGCAUGGCUGCUUCUCAGGAGAGAGAGUGAAUCUGACGAGGUCAAGAAGCAGGAGCGGCGUUCUGCUGCGAGGUCAGUGAAAGGCGAGAGACUCUUGUUGGACACGGCAGUGCAGCGACGGUUCGCGAGGCAAGAAUUCUACCGCAAGCAUAAGAAUUUCGACUUCAAUAAAAUUGACGAAGAACACGGCCUCAAUGUUUUAGAGACAUAUGUAUUGAACUCAGAUGGCAAGGAGAUUUUUGUGAAGAGUUGGAUACCUGCACAGAAGCAGCUCCAUGGCGUUGUUUUCUUGUGUCAUGGUUAUGGCGAUACCAUUACCUAUUACGCUGAAGGCGUGGCGCGAACAUUGGCGUCAGCUGGAUAUGCUGUGUUUGGCAUGGAUUAUCCCGGCUUUGGCAUGUCAGAAGGCUUGCAUGGAUACAUACUCGAUUUCCACAAACUUGUGGACGAUGUCAUAGAGCAAUACCGCGCCAUUAAAGAGCGCGAGGAGCUGAAAGGACUGCCAUGCUUUCUUUACGGUGAGUCCAUGGGAGGGGCUGUCGCCCUGCGAGCUCAUCUGAAAGAACCAAGUCUGUGGAAUGGGGCCGUUCUUGUGGCACCUAUGUGCAAAAUUGCAGACACGAUGUAUCCUCCUUGGAUACAAUUGCAAAUUCUGCUCCUCCUUGCUCGCAUCAUUCCCAAAGCAAAGCUUGUGCCGGACAGAAACAUUGCUGCUCUCGGGUUCCGUGUUCCGGAGAAAAGGCAUUUGGCUGAUAUGAAUCCUAUUUCAUACUCGGGAAACCCGCGACUUGGAACUGCUGUACAAUUGCUCCGGAUUACGGACUACAUUGAGAGCAAGUUGCAUGAGGUUUCUUUACCAUUGCUUGUACUGCACGGUGGUGAUGACCGAGUCACGGAUCUAUCGAUCAGCAGACUGCUCCACGAGAAGGCAAGAUCUAAGGACAAGACGCUACGAGUGUGUCCCGAUUCCUGGCAUUGCAUUAUGCAGGGAGAACCAGAUGAUGUGAUACGUAAAGUGAUGAGGGAAGUCAUAGAGUGGCUUGAUGCCCGCGCUGCGCCGAAAUUGUGGAAACUUGGCCAGAGUGAGGAAGAGUUUGAGGAAAGAGUCGCUGCUGCUGUACCCCAUUUGAUCAAUUUUGGUAGAUUAAACGUAGCAACAUAGAGUAAAUUGACUUGAUUAUUUCAUAGUACAUUGUUGGAAAUGUUACUGUGAACUAGUUGCACGAAGCAAUUGGUAUCCUGAAAGUACAAGGCUUUUGGAGCAGAGGAUUAGGUUCCUGCAAUAGUACCGCAUAAACUCCUGUUUUGCAUUGACGCAAACAUUCAAUGGGUCUCGUAAUUGAGGAUAAUCGUUGUACAGCUUUUCAAUCUUUUCGAUCUUUACACCUAAAUGAUGCAGCUUAAUAUGAGGCUACUGGAUGACAGACAAUUAUCGUUUCAGCAAACAAGUUCAGGUCAGGUUCAAUGAUGAAGUGAUCUAAUGAAAGCUGCCGACGGUUGUAGAUAGUUUUCCAUUUCUCUUCAGCGAACAAGAAUUCGAGGCAAUUCAGAGUUGCAGCAGAUUCUCUACAUACAGCCCCCGUGUGGUCGUACCUUCACAAGGUCGGGUGCAGGGUUUGUUGGAACGCCUUGAGCAGCGUUGCUUGGUAAGAGCUGGGAAUAUUGGUAAAAUUGCUCUUGGUGUCA
Physcomitrium patens is the source of this 2203-nucleotide non-coding RNA. The record is from RefSeq and is a predicted model, not a curated record. NCBI's taxonomy places the organism in Eukaryota, Viridiplantae, Streptophyta, Bryopsida, Funariales, Funariaceae.